UCUUUUUCCACCGGAGCUUGCUCCACCGGAAAAAGAGGAGUGGCGAACGGGUGAGUAACACGUGGGUAACCUGCCCAUCAGAAGGGGAUAACACUUGGAAACAGGUGCUAAUACCGUAUAACAAUCGAAACCGCAUGGUUUUGAUUUGAAAGGCGCUUUCGGGUGUCGCUGAUGGAUGGACCCGCGGUGCAUUAGCUAGUUGGUGAGGUAACGGGGCGACGAUGCAUAGCCGACCUGAGAGGGUGAUCGGCCACAUUGGGACUGAGACACGGCCCAAACUCCUACGGGAGGCAGCAGUAGGGAAUCUUCGGCAAUGGACGAAAGUCUGACCGAGCAACGCCGCGUGAGUGAAGAAGGUUUUCGGAUCGUAAAACUCUGUUGUUAGAGAAGAACAAGGAUGAGAGUAACUGUUCAUCCCUUGACGGUAUCUAACCAGAAAGCCACGGCUAACUACGUGCCAGCAGCCGCGGUAAUACGUAGGUGGCAAGCGUUGUCCGGAUUUAUUGGGCGUAAAGCGAGCGCAGGCGGUUUCUUAAGUCUGAUGUGAAAGCCCCCGGCUCAACCGGGGAGGGUCAUUGGAAACUGGGAGACUUGAGUGCAGAAGAGGAGAGUGGAAUUCCAUGUGUAGCGGUGAAAUGCGUAGAUAUAUGGAGGAACACCAGUGGCGAAGGCGGCUCUCUGGUCUGUAACUGACGCUGAGGCUCGAAAGCGUGGGGAGCAAACAGGAUUAGAUACCCUGGUAGUCCACGCCGUAAACGAUGAGUGCUAAGUGUUGGAGGGUUUCCGCCCUUCAGUGCUGCAGCUAACGCAUUAAGCACUCCGCCUGGGGAGUACGACCGCAAGGUUGAAACUCAAAGGAAUUGACGGGGGCCCGCACAAGCGGUGGAGCAUGUGGUUUAAUUCGAAGCAACGCGAAGAACCUUACCAGGUCUUGACAUCCUUUGACCACUCUAGAGAUAGAGCUUCCCCUUCGGGGGCAAAGUGACAGGUGGUGCAUGGUUGUCGUCAGCUCGUGUCGUGAGAUGUUGGGUUAAGUCCCGCAACGAGCGCAACCCUUAUUGUUAGUUGCCAUCAUUUAGUUGGGCACUCUAGCAAGACUGCCGGUGACAAACCGGAGGAAGGUGGGGAUGACGUCAAAUCAUCAUGCCCCUUAUGACCUGGGCUACACACGUGCUACAAUGGGAAGUACAACGAGUCGCAAAGUCGCGAGGCUAAGCUAAUCUCUUAAAGCUUCUCUCAGUUCGGAUUGUAGGCUGCAACUCGCCUACAUGAAGCCGGAAUCGCUAGUAAUCGCGGAUCAGCACGCCGCGGUGAAUACGUUCCCGGGCCUUGUACACACCGCCCGUCACACCACGAGAGUUUGUAACACCCGAAGUCGGUGAGGUAACCUUUUGGAGCCAGCCGCCUAAGGUGAUUGGGGG
RNAcentral lists this ribosomal RNA (1421 nucleotides) under Enterococcus hirae. RNAcentral describes it as "bacterial SSU rRNA". It matches the Rfam family "Bacterial small subunit ribosomal RNA". The record is from RNAcentral. Lineage: Bacteria; Bacillati; Bacillota; Bacilli; Lactobacillales; Enterococcaceae.